GUUAAGUAAUUAAAGGGAUUAUUAGGGAUGCCUAGCAGAUAUGUUGAAAAGGAAGUAUAAUACUAAAAGUAUAGAUACAAUCAGAAUAUUUAUACAAUCCUAAGGUAAACCGAAUAGUAUAGAACGUUGGGAAGUAAAACAUUACAGUACCAAUAGGAAAGGAAAUCAAAAGAGACUCUGGAAGUAAUGGUGAGUGAAACCAGAAUAGCCGAAAUUUUUACUAACGCGCAUAGUACUUUGGAAUAAGUAGACAUUAGAAUAAUAUAAAUUUAUUCUAAUCCCAUAGAAGGUGAAAGUCCUGUAUGUGAUGAAAGUAAAAAUAAUAGUAAGUAAUAUGAGGACGUCAGCCUUGUAUGAAUAAGGGGGUACCAUCCUCCAAGGCUAAGUAUAACAUAUCUAGCGAUAGUGGAGAGUAACGUGAGUGAAAGGUGAAAAGUAAGUAGAUGACUAGUGAAAUAGAACCUGAACUAGUAAUCCUAUAAGCAGUUGGAGUUUUUAGUAAAAAAUGACAACGUACCUUUUGCAUAAUGGGUCAGCGAGUUAGUUUAUAGAGCAAGAUGAAUAAUCUAAGCGAAAGCGACUGUAAUAAGUGGAUCAAAAAUAGUUUUAUGAACUAGACCCGAAGCCAAAUGAUCUUACCAUGACCAGGCUAAAAAAGGGCCGAACAGGUGAAUGUUGCAAAAUUCUCUGAUGAGUUGUGGUAAGGGGUGAAAGGCCAAUCUAAUUUGGAUGAUAGCUGGUAUUCUGCGAAACCUAUUUAGGUAGGGCCUUUAUUUACACUUUUAUAUGUACAGCACUGAUCAUCAUACAUUAGCCAGAUGUUUUACAUCACUAUGUUAAAUUGGGGGGUUUCACAACUCUACCAUUGAUGGUUAACCUCGGAAGGAUAAUAGUGAAUGAUAAGGGCACAGUCUAUUCAUGAUAAGGUGGAUAGACAAAAGGGAAACAGCCCAGAGCACGUGUUAAGGUCCCAAAAUAUUGUUAAGUGAAUAUAAGAAAGUUUAACUCCUAAUACAACCAUGAAGUAGGCUUGGAGGUAGCCAUCUUUUAAUGAUAGUGUAACAACUCAGUGGUCUAUAAAAUCAAUGAAUUUAUUUUUAUUGCUGUUUUCCGAAAGGAAAACAGGAGGAGAUAAGCGUCGAAAAUUAACGGGUCUUAGACAAUAUACCUACACCGUGACUAUUUAUAAUAAAUCUAAUUUAUUAUAAGUAAGGGUAGCAGAACACUCAGUAUCUGAUUGAAGGAAAAUGUUUCAUUUACUGGACAGUACUGAAGAGAAAAUGCUGACAUGAGUAACGUAGAAAGGAGUUAAAACACUCCUCGCCGAAUACGAGAGGGUUUCAUGGAGAAGUUAAUCUGCCAUGAGUUAUGCGGACUCUAAGGAUUAUAUGCGAAUGUUUAUAUCUGAUGAGAACUACUAGAAUUACACUGAAUUAUCCAUAUAUAAUAACCCUUUGUCUCGUAGGAAAAUUUACGGAACAAAUGGUUGGAUCAAGAAAAAUAAGUGUCACUAUAUAUAGUGAAUCCGUACCCUAAACCGACACAGGUUCGUAGGUAGAGAAUACUAAGGCGUAGAGAUAAUGCUUGUGAAGGAACUCGGCAAAUUGUGCCCGUAAGUUAGACGAUAAGGGUAACCAGAAUAAAUAAUUAUAUUCUAAUUCUGAGUGUCACAAAAUCGAGGGCUGCGACUGUUUACCAAAAACACAGCAACUUGCUAAGACGAAUAGUACUUGUAUAAGUUGUGAACUCUGCCCAAUGCCAUGUCGUGUAAAGAAGGUGAUUUAUUAAUUAGUAAAUAAUUAAUAGAGUCACUAACUGAUGCCAUGGUGAAUGGCGGUCUUAACUAUAAGGAUCUGAAAGUAGCGAAAUUCCUUGGCCAUUAAAUGUGGUCCUGCAUGAAUGAGGUAACGUGGCCCUGCUGUCUCCACAAGCAUCUCAGUGAAAUUGAAUUAGCCGUGCAGAUGCGGUUUACCUUCAGUUAGACGGGAAGACCCUAUGCAGCUUUACUGUAACUUGAUAUUGUUACUUCUAUAGCUAGGUGUAGUAUACAAGGGAGUAGAUUUUAUUUACAUCAGUGAAAUACCUUGACUAGUCUAAAGAAGUAACUUACCUAACGUUAAUAAGAUAUCACUUUCUAUGAUAGGCCUAUAAAUAUUAGAUUUAUAGGCCCUCUAUAAUUUUCUAGAAAAUAUCUAUUCAUUUAUCACUAUAAAGUAUAUUGCGCCUGCGCGUAUAUUUUAUAGGCGCUAGAAAAAGGAAAAGAAAAAGGAGGGGGUGGGCGAAGCCCCCCACUCUAUGAAUAAAUGAAUAAGUACUGUCCAUUUUUAGUAUAGCUUUACUACUGUUAUACUAAAGACCUAGCGCCAGCAUACAACUGUACUAUAGAAAGGAGAUAAGGAAUUAUAUGGAAAAAUAUCAGGUGGUCAGUUUGACUGGGACGGUAGCCUCUAAUAAAGUAUCAGAGGCCUUCAAAGGUAUGCAUAUAUUGGUCAGAAACCAAUGAACUAUGUAAAGUUUAUUAAAGCGUAAUAGUAUAAGCAUGCUUGACUGAAAGACUGAUAGGUCGAUCAGAUACGCAAGUAGGAUAUAGUGAUCCGGUGAUUCAUAAUGGAAUGGUCAUCGCUCAAGAAAUAAAAGUUA
Molecule: ribosomal RNA, 2640 nt
Filed under: Ustilago trichophora
Lineage: Eukaryota; Fungi; Basidiomycota; Ustilaginomycetes; Ustilaginales; Ustilaginaceae
Description: bacterial LSU rRNA
Rfam family: Bacterial large subunit ribosomal RNA
Source: RNAcentral